GAUGAAGAACGUAGCAAAAUGCGAUAAGUAAUGUGAAUUGCAGAAUUCAGUGAAUCAUCGAAUCUUUGAACGCACAUUGCGCCCGCUGGUAUUCCGGCGGGCAUGCCUGUUCGAGCGUCAUUUCAACCCUCAAGCCUCCGGGUUUGGUGUUGGGGAUCGGCUCUGCCCUUCUGGGCGGUGCCGCCCCCGAAAUACAUUGGCGGUCUCGCUGCAGCCUCCAUUGCGUAGUAGCUAACACCUCGCAACUGGAACGCGGCGCGGCCAUGCCGUAAAACCCCAACUUCUGAAUGUUGACCUCGGAUCAGGUAGGAAUACCCGCUGAACUUAAGCAUAUCAAUAAGCGGAGGA
This 348-nucleotide unclassified non-coding RNA is filed under the name soil metagenome. Its description in RNAcentral is "partial contains 5.8S ribosomal RNA, internal transcribed spacer 2, and large subunit ribosomal RNA". The stretch from base 1 to 120 matches the Rfam family "5.8S ribosomal RNA", at positions 35 to 154 of the family's 154-position model. The record is from RNAcentral.